This 1169-nucleotide long non-coding RNA is filed under the name Mus musculus (house mouse). Its description in RNAcentral is "predicted gene, 65469". The record is from RNAcentral. Lineage: Eukaryota; Metazoa; Chordata; Mammalia; Rodentia; Muridae.
CUCUGGAUAAUUUGAGAUUGUGUCUCAAGAAACCAACCAGCUCACCAGAUAUCCCAACAGGAAAAAAGAAAGCCAUGGGCUGGAGUACCUCCAGUGGAACCUGAGACUAGAUUAUUCAAAACCAAAGUUCACACUAACACCCAAGUACCUUGCUGCAGUGAACCACCUAAAGUCUGUGUUGAUAUCAUGCUUAAUGGUGAGAAGACAAAAUGCUGAGCUCCAUGAACACCAAUAACGUGACAUAUCUGAACCCUGGAACUGUAAUAUUGAUUGGAAUUCCUGGACUAGAGCACGUGCAGUUUUGGAUUGGAUUUCCAUUCUUUACAGUGUGCUUGGUGGCUCUUUUGGGAAAUAUCAUUUUAUUAAUCAUCAUCCCAGCCGAACAGAGCUUACACCAACCCAUGUACAUCUUCCUGGCUGUGCUGGCAGGUACAGACAUAGGACUUUGUGCAGCCAUUGCCCCCAAAAUGUUGGCCAUAUUUUGGUUCAGGGCUUAUUCCAUGGCCUUUGAUGCCUGCCUAGCCCAGCUCUUCUUCAUCCAUAUCCUGCAGGGCAUGGAGUCUGGCAUUCUGUUGGCAAUGGCUUUUGAUCGUUACAUUGCAAUCUGUGAUCCUCUGAGGCACACAUCCAUUCUUAAACCUUCAAUUCUUGGUCAGAUGAUAGUGGUGGUGGUAAUUCAAGCGGUAGUGCUUGUAGGCCUGCUACCUAUUCUAAUAAAAAGACUGCACCAUUUUCAAUCCAUUCAAAUUGCCCACUCUUACUGUGAACACAUGACUGUUGUGAAGCUUGCAGCAAACCGUGUGCAGGUCAAUAAGAUAUGUGGUCUCUUUGUGGGGGUUGAGCGUUCUGGGAUUUGACAUUUUUUUAUCCUCAUAUCAUAUGCCCUGAUUUUCUAAGCUGUUUUUCACCUUAAACAGAAGGAGGCAAGGCUCAAAGCCUUUAACACCUGCACAGCUCAUAUUUUUGUUUUUUUAGAGUUCUAUAUUCUUGCCUUUUUCUCCUUUUUUAGCCACCGUCUUGGUCAUGUUGUUCCCUCCACCCACAUUCUUCUGUCAACCAUCUACCUCCUCUUGCCUCCUGCUCUCAACCCUCUUGUCUAUGGAGUGAAAAGCAUGGUCAUUUAAAAACGGGUGGCACAGAUCUUUUUUCUAGAUCAUGCACAUCAGUAG